UUCUACGGCCAUGCCGCCCUGAACAAGCCCAAUCCCGUCUGAUCUCAGAAGCUAAGCAGAGUCGGGCCUGGUUAGUACUCGGAUGGGAGACCACCUAGGAAAACCAGGUGCUGUAGGCG
RNAcentral lists this ribosomal RNA (119 nucleotides) under Pteropus alecto (black flying fox). The record is from RNAcentral. Lineage: Eukaryota; Metazoa; Chordata; Mammalia; Chiroptera; Pteropodidae.